This 6958-nucleotide long non-coding RNA is filed under the name Gallus gallus (chicken). Lineage: Eukaryota; Metazoa; Chordata; Aves; Galliformes; Phasianidae. The record is from RNAcentral.
CUUUGAGGAAUGCGGUAGCUACAUUUUAAUUUCACUUUUAAAUAAUUCCAAAACUCCCAGCAUUCAUUUCUUAUAUUACAGCAUCCUUUCUCAGAAGUAAUUUCUCAUGCCGUAUAACCUGGAAGGUGACUGGAGUUACAGAAGCAGAUGAAAGAGGGCAUUAUCCACUGUCUUUCUUCCUAAGAAAGUAUUUCUUCAGUUAACCGAGUCUUGAGGAAUCGUUCAACUCUGAAUUACAGUAUUUGUGGAACAGAGCAAUCUUAAUUUAUGUGACAGGUUGUGCAAAGAUAGUAGGCAAUAUCUUUUUUUUUUUUUUUUUUUUACUUACUCAUUAAAUAGCUGGAUGUUGAGUUAAAUAAAUAAUCAAAGAGUAUUACAAGGUCAAAUAGCUAAUUCUCUCUCAGAUAAUACAAGGUACUUGGCACUAAUGAGCUGCACCUCACCAGACUUUUAUGGGAUAAGCUUCAUUUUGUGAAAUUUAUUGCUCUGAAAUGUCUGGCAAGUGAUGCUGAAUAUUAGUUGCAGUUAGAAGAAUUGAAGAAUGAUCACUGAGAAGGGAUGGCCAACAAAUUCUUCUCUUUUGAGGUGGCCUGUAAGUUACAGAAAUGUAGGGUUCUAAUGGGACUUUCACACCCAGACACUGACUGUAAUUCCAAGCCUUAUUAAUGAAAGUCAGCAUUUGCAGAGAAGCAUGGUUAGAGCUAUGGAACUCACAGUGUAUCUAUAUCCUCCAUUUCCAGAAACCAGGAAAAUCGGGUACUGUAGAUCACACAAUCUAUCCAUAGGGAAGUCAAACACAGACUUUGAUUGAGCAGAGUCACCAUGGAGUAACUAUUGCAUUAUACUGUUUCUCAUUGCGUUUAAGGAAUGCAUGUGUGUUAUACUUUUGCUGAAUAAUUUUGCUGGGGUAAUUACUGAAUUUUCUCUGCUUUUGGUGUUGGACCUGCUGGAGGCUGGAGAUGAUGGUGCUGGUGGAACAGCACAUUUGGGGAGCAGAGUUAAGCUUGUUGUGACUCUUUUCCUAUGAACCAUAGGCAUGUGAAGGGCUGAGGUAUGGGAUGGCUGUGAGUUGUGGAGGCCAUGGGCCUGGGAUUUUCUGUGUGUGGCAAGGGGACAUAUGAAGCUAUCUUCCAGAGGAGUUGCUGCAGGACCUCAUCCUGGCUCUCAUCCACCCAUGCCUCCACAGAGGUUGUGCCUGAGAAGACCCACAAGGCUAUGUCUCCAUGUAGCAACAAGAAGUGCACUGCUCUGAGGACCAGCCCUCUGGAUGGAGACUGUCUCUGCUACAACAGGCUAAACCUCUGCCCACAGCCAUGUGCUGUCUUCACCUGAUGCCAUCUGUGGUUGUAGGGCACUGAGCUGCCCCUCUUCCCUCUGUGGGAUGCUAGCAGAUAGCCUGAGAUCCGCCAGGGCCAUCUGUGUGGACGUCCUGUGAUCCUGAUUUAGGAUGUUCCCGCUGUCCAAGGCUCGACCCCUCUCCUUCUCCACAGCACUCAGGAAUGCCUCACAAGAGGCAAGUUUAUUUACUCAGUCCUGCUAUGCUCCAUCAAACAGACCUCAUCAGGAGAAGGUGGAGGGCCCCAGUCAUCAGCCUGGAAGGAAAUCCUGACUGCAGUAGCAAUGCUAUGCAGGGAAGUGCAAACCUGCCAAGCUUUACUUACCUUAGCCCAAUGUGUGGUGAGGCAUGCUGAUAGAUGAGUGGUACCGACAUGUUUUGGAGACUGGCCAGGGGAAACUCAUCACCUGGCAGGAGCAGGACAUGCAUGCCCCUGCCACCAUGUGGUUCAUGGGCCCCAAGCCCCUUGGAGUGACAUGAGACUGGGAGCAAAGAAAGUGUGCAGAGCAGCCAUGGGUGAAGUACAUGCAGCUGGAGACAUCUCUCAGGGGAAGAGGAACAGGGGAGAGCUGUGAGUGAUGAUUAACUGUAGCCAUUAAACUCAGAAAACAGUGACAUAACUUUGAGAGCGUGAGUGUACCAUCUGAACUAUCCUAGAAGAAUGUCAAGUGCCGUGAAAAUAACACCAUAUGUUCAGAGAGCCUGAUCUGGAGGUUUCCAAACCGCAGAGCUGGAUUUUGCUGGGAUACUUUGCAGAUGCAGCUCAUAGGGUGCCAGACCCUGAGUCUGUCCUUUGCAUCCCUUCUUGGGGCAGUCAUGCCAAAGCCUCUCUGGAACCACGUGGACUGGCAGACAGGUGGAUACCAUCAUGGAGCUAUGUGUUUUCUGCAGAAGCCCACACAGCUUGUGAAUCAGUAGCCAUACUGUUGUGCUACUGUGCCACCACGCAUCUGGAUGGGAUCCCAUGACUUCCCCCAGCAGAACCUGGAUUCAGGUUCUGGAGGAGCUGAGCCAGCAGGCUGACACUGCCCACUGCAUUGCAAACCAAAAAAACACCCCAAUACCCCUUUAAAAGUCGUAUUUCAGGCCCCCAUAAAGAAGCCUAUAAGGAAGUCUGAAUUAAAAGGAUUGUUUUGUUUGGAGAUUUCCCGACAGGACUGAGGCUGUAUAUGCAAGACAGACUCAAAACUUUGGCAGUUCUGUUACAAUCAACUCAAAGUUUGAUAUUUUUGAUCAAGUAGUGCUGGGGAGUAGAUGUGUAGAUUUGGGUGCCACAGCUGCACACCCAGUUGUGUGGUGCUGCCACUUGGAAGUGGGGGAGCAGAGGGAAAAGCAUGCCUGCUGCCACUGUGAAAAUUAAUAUUUCUGCAAUUCACCUGCAAGAAACAUACCUUGUCAAGUGCUGCAUUUGAGAAGUAAGUAUUUCUCCCUUUGAGGCUUUGAAAGAAAGGACUUCAUUGAAAGGAAAGAAAAGAAAUCCUGGUGAUUCAGCUGAGCAGAGUGCAAUGUACUCAGAGAAAAUAAGAAAGGAAUGAAAGUGUUAGCAGAGUCUUGGUUAUGGCAGUAGAGGGGUAUUAGCCAAGUCAAAAUGGAUUGUCAGACUAGGCUCUUGUUUGUGUAACCUCCCACAUUCCUUGCACCGAGUCAACAUCUAGCCACCUGGGACAGGAGAAGGGAAUAACUUUUUUGUUUAGAAAAAAUAAAAUCAUGUAAAAAUCAUUUAAAUUUAUGUUUCUCUUUUAACAGAAGAAGUGUUUAAAAGGAAAACAUACCUUUUGGAGUGAAGCAUUUGUUUUUGUUCUUUAUAAGUACUUGUUUGAGUUCAUGUUUGUUAAAUGGCUUGUAGUUAUUCAAUCAUGGAGAUUUCCUUUGCUAACAUAAAAAUAGGUGUGAUUGAAAAAUUCAUAGCAGGAAAACAAAACUGCCUUUCACCCACUUGGACUCGCUUGACUUGAUGAGAUAUUUGUAAACCUUUAUAAGCACAUGUGACUUGUAAGCAUAUUUCUUUCAGAAAGGAAUACAAUUCAGACAUAACUUUCUCAAGAAGACACAUGAAGACUGAAGGAAUAAAUAAUACCACAAAUCAUGAGUCCACCCAAGGCCAAGUUCCCAAGUGCUGGUGCUUCCUGACAAUGGAAACUUGAAACACUUGAAUAAGAAAGGCAGAACUGCUUGGCUAGCAAAGGUGGAUUUUGAACAGCAAAUGUAAUUUCAUUUUCUGACCUGCCUCCUCAUGUAUACAAAUUCAGUAUCGUACAGUUAAGACCCCUUGGCUUUGCUAGACAGCAGGCAUGCCUUUAAAAUGGUAGGAACCUCUUGUCAGUGUACUUUUUUGUGAAAAUAAUGGUAUUGUGUUUUGUGCUGCACUGUCCUUGAUCCCAGUCAAAUGCCACGGGGAGAGGGAUAUUAGUUGGCUUGGGAUGACUUUGAGUCAGGUCCUGCUUAUGCCUUGUGCUAUGGGGUGACAUAUCUGAAACUUCCAUGGCUCUGUCCCCACUGCUCCAUAAGGGAGCAUAAAACACAGCACAGCUAGUUCACAUGCAAUUAUGCUGAUGAGUACAGAGGUAGGAGGAGGAAGGUGCAAAUGCCAGGAUGGAAAACUGACUUCAGCCCUCCAAUGUCACCAUGGCUUUCUGAGAGUCAGGGUUUACCAUGGAGUCCUCUGCAGCACAGGUGGCAGAAAUCUUCCACCGAAAAAGCAUCUGUUGGUGUCUGCAAAUAGCAUCUUUACAUGCCUGUUGAUGUCAUCCAAUUACCCAGCAGAAGUUUUCCCUAGAAAUCACUCUGCCAUUGGAGCUGAGAAAGUUUGAACAAUAAAUCCUGUUGGUGAAAUAGUCCUAACAUUUUGUUUUGCUAUCAUGCAUGUGGACAGAUUUACUAACUUGCAGAAUUCAGUACAUCAUAAUCAGUUUCUGGGUCAUUAAAGAGACUUGGCAAACUUUCACUGUACUUCAUAAUGUGGGUUUUUUGGGGGGGGGUUGUUGUUGUUUCAAGUGAAACCAGAGAGAGCGCCUUGUAUUUGUGUGUUUUGAAAUAUGAUUUAUUUCUUCUGUUUUCAGAAGUUAUCUUUGUUUUUGCAACCCACAUGGAAAAGAAGAGCCAGUGGAACUCCCUGAUCAUUAAAAAAAAACAAAACAACAACAACAAAAAAACCAAUUAUAGAAAUGUUCAAAGACACCAUAUGCCAUUCAUUUAAUUUUAAUUCAAGCUGUACUGUGUUAUGUUUUGCCUUCAGUAAUAACUUGGAAGAGUAUGAAUCAGCAGAGGCCAAGGAGCAAGGCUGUUGCCCUGACAUGGAAUAUUUUACUGUAGGACUCACAAACCACUUCAGUGGUGUGAAAAUCUUCCCAUACCUCUCAAGCUGUUGUGUUGUAUUGCACUGUAUUGUGCUUUGUUGUAUUGUGGAAGACCACAACAUAACACAUCUAUAACUUCCUGAUUUCUCCCUGCAUUGGACCAUCUAAAAAGUUGUUGGAAGUUCAGAAUCCUUUAUGUGUCUACUUUGGAGUCACAAGUCCUUAGUAAAUUCAUAUUCUUUCCUCCUUGUUGAUAAAUUACUAGUGUUUCAUAUGAAAAGACAUCUUAACUCUAACCUGGUGCUUUAGUAUUAGACUAGGAGAAAGAAAAGGAGUGAUGCACUAGAGACAGAGAAAAACUACAGAAGAGAAAAUGAUUUGGACUUUAGACAUUACUUAUAUUAAAUGACAGUACUUGUAUAUUUCAACUGCUAACUGCAAUGAGAGUAGUUGUUGGUUAACUUAAGUAGACGGUUGUUCAUAAAUUUAUCAGAGAAUUAUUCCUGUUGUCACAGUUUAAGCUCUACAAUCUUCUGAAAUAACUUUUAUACUUAGAUAAAGCUCAUUAACUAGAGGCACGCAUACAUUCAGGUCCAUCAGCAUCCUUCAGUGUUCAGCAUCUUCAAUCUUGGCUUGUAAGUGCCUAGCUCUAGGAAUGGAACAAAGAAAGCCAUCUUAGAGAUUAAGUUCCUUACCCAGUGAAUAAACAGAAAUCAGGAUAUGAAAAUAGUCUAAACUAUUACACAAUCACAUCCAUAAGAGCAAGUAAUGAAAAAUUGUUAAGAACUACAAAGAACUAUAAAUACAAAAUAUGUAGUAAAUGGAAAACAGAGUUACUCUGUAGUAUAGUCAACAAAUACACAGAGCAGUGUGGUCAGAUUAGUAUCCACAGAUUAUACAGCUAGAAAAAUUACCAUGUUGGAAAGGGAUAACCAGAAAUAAAUGGAAAAAGCUCACCCAUAUUGUAGGCUUGCAGGAAAAACUCCAAGAGGAGCAAUAUUCAGAGAGAGAUCAUCCCUCAGUGGCAGUCAGUCCUUAAAUGGGUCUAGGAGAGGUGAAGCCAGGCUCCACCCCUUUCCAGUCACACAGGUGAAUUGCCUUCACCUGUGCUCCUGCAGCUGACUCAGUGCUCGCCUCAGCUGAUUGGAGGUUCAGGCCGUGAUUCAGCAGUUCCCAUAAAUCUGUACACAUAUCCAGAAGGCUUACAUUUUUGAACAAGCUUUAUUGGGAAGUAGCUGGAUCACCGUUACUGAGGUCUUUCAAGUAGAGAUUAGACAGAAUCUAUGAAGGACAUGCUAGGCACACUAGAGCUUAAUUCAGAACGAGGCAGCACAUACUUAGUGGGAUGAAAUCAUAGAAUUGCAAUCCUGGAAAAGAUUUCAGAAGAUUAACUACAUUAGUCCUGUUGUGGACACGUUGGUAACACAUUUACAGUACAAAUUGGAUUGAGCCAUUUUUUUUAAAACACCAAUAUUAGAAAAUUUUGAUUGAUUAAAAAUUAAUGUCAUGUAUAUGGAACCACACUUUUGCCUUUGGCUUUCUUCAAAGCUAAAAGACUCAUGUACUAUUUGUACGCAUCUUCUAGGGUUGGUAGAUACUUUGCUCUACCCAGCAGUGUGAUUUCCAGUGUAACUAAAUUGAGGAGGAGAAUGCUGUCUGACUGAACAAUUAUAUAAACAAGAAAUAUUAAUAUGCAUUAAAAAUUUACUAAACUUCUGUCUACAAAAUUAUAAUUGCAGGCUAGACUGUCCUCUGCUAGUUGCUUAUGGACCAAAUGUCUCAUUGCAUCACUUUCAAAAGUAGUGUAUUUAUUUUGGGGCUCUGUGUUUCAGAUGAGUUCCACAUGUACUCCAGAUUUAACAAAUUCAUCAUUGGUGUUUUAUUAUGACUUGAAAUAACUUCACUAGGUCAUAUCCAGGGUUCUCAUUUGUUUUUCAUACCAUGGAUCACAUUUUAAUACCACGUCUUGUGUAUAUCUUCUCUUUCCAUUUUGCAAUUGUGAAAUGUACUUGCGGUGUGGAUAGUUAUUAAAUACAUGGAAAAGUUUGGAAACUAUUUCAUGUAGUUUUAGCUUCAAAACAGCUUAACAACUGGGACUAAGGAGAGCCAGCCCUGUAUGACUAGCCAGUUCUCCACCAUGGGCCAUUUCUGAGGACAUCUGUCAGUAUCAUUUUAUAGCAAUUCUAAUAUAUAAUAAUUCUAUAGCAAUUCUAAGUUGCCUGUGUGUAUUCAUUUUUUUAGAAGUUUUUUUAAAGGGUCCUACCUUCCUAAGCACUUGCUCUCUUUCUAUCUCUCUUUUUCUCUCUACUGAUGAGACCAAAGCUAG